This 1291-nucleotide long non-coding RNA is filed under the name Brachypodium distachyon (stiff brome). Its description in RNAcentral is "long non-coding RNA (BDIS_LNC005532)". Lineage: Eukaryota; Viridiplantae; Streptophyta; Magnoliopsida; Poales; Poaceae. The record is from RNAcentral.
CCAGUUGGUUUGUCCUUAUAUGAUAUUCCUAUGUAGGAGAGCCCUGACUUUCCAUCAAUCCAAUCCGGGUUGCUCUACUACCCGAGCUCCCUACCCGCCGAAUAUACUCUAGCCGUAGGGCCGGCAUAUCUACUACUGACCAAACUAAUGGAUCUUCAUGAUCCACAUAAAUAUUCUUAAUAUUUAUAAAACUUAUUUUUAGUGACAUGCAAGAAUUUUGAAAUCAAACAAAUUUCAUAAAAACAUUUUUUAAGACAUGUUCAAAGGAUGCGAUUUGUCUGGUAGUGCUCCGGUCAACUCGGAAACACCGUCCGGGUGUCCUACUUGUCCGAAGUCAACUUGUAAUAUUUAAUCCAUAGACAUACUUUAAAACUUUCCUAAACAGAAUUGUAAUAAAGAAAAUAAAGCAAGCAAGACAAACAUGCAUUUCUAUCAACUUUUCUAAGUUACUCACACCUAGUCUCUAAUGUACAGACCAAAUAAAAGAUGCAAGUGUGUGUGUCCAUGUGCGCCAGUGUGUCUCUGUGUGCUCUAGUGCUACUGCUAGCUCCCAAGUAAAAAUUAGUGCCCAUCGCAAGUAGUAGUGUAGUACUCCUCUGGAUCCCAUCCAACGAGCUGUCAAAUAAAAGAAAAAAAAAUAUCAAAAGGUGACAGGACGCAUGAGCUAUUGGAGGCCAGCCCAGCAGAACGAGUGCCCCUGCCCAUUUCCUUCUCACGAGAACGCUCCUCUGUUAGAGUGAUCUGCCAGCCGUGUGGGCCCACCGAGGCCUACAUCUGAUGCGCCCUAAUCGGGAACGUCCAACCCAAUAUGGUUGGCGGACCCCUGUCGCGCUGCGCUAUAUAAAGAGGUGGGGGGCCGGGGCACUCACGACGAGGUUCGCUGCGUUUGCCACCAACCCCACCGACAACCCCUGCCGAUCUAGGUUUCUGCGCAGAAGCGACGGGAAGCUCGCCGUCGCUCCCCGCCGCCGCCGCCGCCGCUCGCCGUCGCUCUUCCUCGCCGUCAUGUCGUCCACGCCGGCAUCUUCGUCCAGCCAAGGCGAAGGUACUCCUCCUCUCUCUCUCUCGGUCCCCAAUACCCGAAUGCCAAGUUGAAUCACAGAACCUAGACUGCCGGCUAGAUCUACACCUAGGUCAUCACAACGAUCUUAACAUUGGUAUCAGAGCCAUCUAGGAUGGUAGAUGUCGUCGGGUAGAAGAGAGAAAGAAAAAGAAAGAAAUUAAAAAAAACGAAAACCCUAACCCUAACAGUACUAACCCGAAAGUUGCCGUCGGCGCGGGGUCACCGGGC